GGAGAGGUGGCCGAGUGGCUGAAGGCAACGCUUUGCUAAAGCGUCAUACGGUCUCAAGCUGUAUCGAGGGUUCGAAUCCCUCCCUCUCCGCCA
RNAcentral lists this transfer RNA (93 nucleotides) under Hyphomicrobium sp. RNAcentral's name for it is "tRNA-Ser". It matches the Rfam family "tRNA". Rfam says of the family: Transfer RNA (tRNA) molecules are approximately 80 nucleotides in length. Their secondary structure includes four short double-helical elements and three loops (D, anti-codon, and T loops). Further hydrogen bonds mediate the characteristic L-shaped molecular structure. tRNAs have two regions of fundamental functional importance: the anti-codon, which is responsible for specific mRNA codon recognition, and the 3' end, to which the tRNAs corresponding amino acid is attached (by aminoacyl-tRNA synthetases). tRNAs cope with the degeneracy of the genetic code in two manners: having more than one tRNA (with a specific anti-codon) for a particular amino acid; and 'wobble' base-pairing, i.e. permitting non-standard base-pairing at the 3rd anti-codon position. The record is from RNAcentral. Lineage: Bacteria; Pseudomonadati; Pseudomonadota; Alphaproteobacteria; Hyphomicrobiales; Hyphomicrobiaceae. RNAcentral also lists the same sequence under 376 other names.